AAACCAUGAUAAUGAUUGUGCUCAAAUGAAGUUAGGGUUCUUUAUAAUCAUCUGAUUAUAAGGCGACGCAAUAGCGCUUCUGAGCUU
Hibiscus syriacus is the source of this 87-nucleotide small nucleolar RNA. RefSeq annotates it as small nucleolar RNA snoR114. The transcript has a single exon. NCBI's taxonomy places the organism in Eukaryota, Viridiplantae, Streptophyta, Magnoliopsida, Malvales, Malvaceae. The record is from RefSeq and is a predicted model, not a curated record.